RNAcentral lists this ribosomal RNA (696 nucleotides) under Weissella hellenica. RNAcentral describes it as "bacterial SSU rRNA". It matches the Rfam family "Bacterial small subunit ribosomal RNA", at positions 76 to 760 of the family's 1533-position model. The record is from RNAcentral. Lineage: Bacteria; Bacillati; Bacillota; Bacilli; Lactobacillales; Lactobacillaceae.
AUUUUUUGAUUUCAAAGAGUGGCGAACGGGUGAGUAACACGUGGGUAACCUACCUCUUAGCAGGGGAUAACAUUUGGAAACAAGUGCUAAUACCGUAUAAUACCAACAACCGCAUGGUUGUUGGUUGAAAGAUGGUUCUGCUAUCACUAAGAGAUGGACCCGCGGUGCAUUAGCUAGUUGGUAAGGUAAUGGCUUACCAAGGCAAUGAUGCAUAGCCGAGUUGAGAGACUGAUCGGCCACAAUGGGACUGAGACACGGCCCAUACUCCUACGGGAGGCAGCAGUAGGGAAUCUUCCACAAUGGGCGCAAGCCUGAUGGAGCAACGCCGCGUGUGUGAUGAAGGGUUUCGGCUCGUAAAACACUGUUAUAAGAGAAGAACGGCACUGAGAGUAACUGUUCAGUGUGUGACGGUAUCUUACCAGAAAGGAACGGCUAAAUACGUGCCAGCAGCCGCGGUAAUACGUAUGUUCCAAGCGUUAUCCGGAUUUAUUGGGCGUAAAGCGAGCGCAGACGGUUAUUUAAGUCUGAAGUGAAAGCCCUCAGCUCAACUGAGGAAUUGCUUUGGAAACUGGAUGACUUGAGUGCAGUAGAGGAAAGUGGAACUCCAUGUGUAGCGGUGAAAUGCGUAGAUAUAUGGAAGAACACCAGUGGCGAAGGCGGCUUUCUGGACUGUAACUGACGUUGAGGCUCGAAAGU